RNAcentral lists this ribosomal RNA (1432 nucleotides) under uncultured organism. RNAcentral's name for it is "partial small subunit ribosomal RNA". It matches the Rfam family "Bacterial small subunit ribosomal RNA". The record is from RNAcentral.
GGCGUGCUUAACACAUGCAAGUCGAACGGAAAGGCCCUGCUUUUGUGGGGUGCUCGAGUGGCGAACGGGUGAGUAACACGUGAGUAACCUGCCCUUGACUUUGGGAUAACUUCAGGAAACUGGGGCUAAUACCGGAUAGGAGCUCCUGCUGCAUGGUGGGGGUUGGAAAGUUUCGGCGGUUGGGGAUGGACUCGCGGCUUAUCAGCUUGUUGGUGGGGUAGUGGCUUACCAAGGCUUUGACGGGUAGCCGGCCUGAGAGGGUGACCGGCCACAUUGGGACUGAGAUACGGCCCAGACUCCUACGGGAGGCAGCAGUGGGGAAUAUUGCACAAUGGGCGGAAGCCUGAUGCAGCAACGCCGCGUGCGGGAUGACGGCCUUCGGGUUGUAAACCGCUUUCGCCUGUGACGAAGCGUGAGUGACGGUAAUGGGUAAAGAAGCACCGGCUAACUACGUGCCAGCAGCCGCGGUGAUACGUAGGGUGCGAGCGUUGUCCGGAUUUAUUGGGCGUAAAGGGCUCGUAGGUGGUUGAUCGCGUCGGAAGUGUAAUCUUGGGGCUUAACCCUGAGCGUGCUUUCGAUACGGGUUGACUUGAGGAAGGUAGGGGAGAAUGGAAUUCCUGGUGGAGCGGUGGAAUGCGCAGAUAUCAGGAGGAACACCAGUGGCGAAGGCGGUUCUCUGGGCCUUUCCUGACGCUGAGGAGCGAAAGCGUGGGGAGCGAACAGGCUUAGAUACCCUGGUAGUCCACGCUGUAAACGGUGGGUACUAGGUGUGGGGUCCAUUCCACGGGUUCCGUGCCGUAGCUAACGCUUUAAGUACCCCGCCUGGGGAGUACGGCCGCAAGGCUAAAACUCAAAGGAAUUGACGGGGCCCCGCACAAGCGGCGGAGCAUGCGGAUUAAUUCGAUGCAACGCGUAGAACCUUACCUGGGUUUGACAUGGAUCGGGAGUGCUCAGAGAUGGGUGUGCCUCUUUUGGGGUCGGUUCACAGGUGGUGCAUGGCUGUCGUCAGCUCGUGUCGUGAGAUGUUGGGUUAAGUCCCGCAACGAGCGCAACCCUUGUUCACUGUUGCCAGCACGUUAUGGUGGGGACUCAGUGGAGACCGCCGGGGUCAACUCGGAGGAAGGUGGGGAUGACGUCAAGUCAUCAUGCCCCUUAUGUCCAGGGCUUCACGCAUGCUACAAUGGCUGGUACAGAGAGUGGCGAGCCUGUGAGGGUGAGCGAAUCUCGGAAAGCCGGUCUCAGUUCGGAUUGGGGUCUGCAACUCGACCUCAUGAAGUCGGAGUCGCUAGUAAUCGCAGAUCAGCAACGCUGCGGUGAAUACGUUCCCGGGGCUUGUACACACCGCCCGUCAAGUCAUGAAAGUUGGUAACACCCGAAGCCGGUGGCCUAACCGUUGUGGGGGAGUCGUCGAAGGUGGGACUGGUGAUUAGCC